This 279-nucleotide long non-coding RNA is filed under the name Nicotiana benthamiana. RNAcentral's name for it is "long non-coding RNA (NBEN_LNC037827)". Lineage: Eukaryota; Viridiplantae; Streptophyta; Magnoliopsida; Solanales; Solanaceae. The record is from RNAcentral.
UUAGGGAUUUUGCCGCACCUAAACUAUGGCAAAGGCAGUAAAACUUGAAAGAAGUGAGGUUAGAAGAUUUGGGCCUGGGUUAAGGCUCCCUAUAGAGUAACUUCUUAUUUUCUUUUUCAUUAUGUAAUUUAGCUAUCAUGGUUUGUAAUAACUUGUAAACAACUAAUGGGGUCUAUAGUGAAAUGGGGUUGGAUUAUGCAUGCUUGAUUUAAUUAAUGGGUAGAGAACAUUUCUAUAGGGCUUUACUUACCUAUUUGCACAAUAGAAACUAUGUGUAGG